CUUGGUCGGAGUGGUGGGUUGCUGCCCUCACAAGCAUUGUGAGGGCAGCGGUUCAAGCCCCCACAAAAGCAUUUGUGGGGGCUAACGUGCUUAUUUGUUUAAUAUUUCAAAAAUUUCCUCUCCCUCGUGCAAUACGAGUGGAGUAUGGACAUCCCUCUUCUGUAAGGGAUUAUUUAUCUGGGCAUGUACUUCACAGAAUUCAAUGUAAUAAUAUAAGUCCCAAUCAUGUAUUUCUGAUUGUAAAUAUCAGUGUAAUAUAUCUGCUAUAAUAGCAGUUGUAAAUAUCUGUGUAAUGCAGUAAUAUGAUGAUUAAUCAGUAUUCAAAAAAAAAAA
Molecule: long non-coding RNA, 333 nt
Filed under: Citrus sinensis (sweet orange)
Lineage: Eukaryota; Viridiplantae; Streptophyta; Magnoliopsida; Sapindales; Rutaceae
Description: long non-coding RNA (CSIN_LNC003732)
Source: RNAcentral